RNAcentral lists this ribosomal RNA (637 nucleotides) under uncultured fungus. RNAcentral describes it as "eukaryotic LSU rRNA". The stretch from base 80 to 233 matches the Rfam family "5.8S ribosomal RNA". Lineage: Eukaryota; Fungi. The record is from RNAcentral.
GCGCUCUGCGUCGCCCCGACCGUUUCCACAUCAGCCAUGUAGAGUGUCGAAAGCGUCUGCGCUUGCGCAACCGAAAAACAACUUUUAACAACGGAUCUCUUGGUUCUCGCAUCGAUGAAGAACGCAGCGAAAUGCGAUAAGUAAUGUGAAUUGCAGAAUUCAGUGAAUCAUCGAAUCUUUGAACGCACCUUGCGCUCCUUGGUAUUCCGAGGAGCAUGCCCGUUUGAGUAUCUCGAUAUCAUCAGGCGCCCGUGCCCUUGCGGCCGGUGCGACUGGACUUGGACGUGCUGCCGGGCCUUUGCCGCCCGGCUCGUCUUAAAUGCAUUAGCGAGAGACGCUAGCCUCUGCCGGCUCUCAUUGGCGUGAUAAGGUCACACCCGUCGAGAGUCCCCGGUCACGAGCUUGCGACCCUUCCGCUUCCAACCGUCCCCCCCGGGACAACAGCGGACCUUUGCGUCUGACAUCUGACCUCAAAUCGGGUAGGACUACCCGCUGAACUUAAGCAUAUCAAUAAGCGGAGGAAAAGAAACUAACGAGGAUUCCCCUAGUAACGGCGAGUGAAGCGGGAAAAGCUCAAGUUUAAAAUCUGGCGGUCUUUGGCCGUCCGAGUUGUAGCCUAGAGAAGCGUCUUCCGCGC